Molecule: ribosomal RNA, 491 nt
Filed under: uncultured bacterium
Lineage: Bacteria
Description: partial 16S ribosomal RNA
Rfam family: Bacterial small subunit ribosomal RNA
Source: RNAcentral
AGUGAACGCUGGCGGUAGGCCUAACACAUGCCAGUCGAACGGCAGCACAGUAAGAGCUUGCUCUUACGGGUGGCGAGUGGCGGACGGGUGAGGAAUAAAUCGGAAUCUACUUUUUCGUGGGGGAUAACGUAGGGAAACUUACGCUAAUACCGCAUACGACCUACGGGUGAAAGCAGGGGAUCUUCGGACCUUGCGCGAUUGAAUGAGCCGAUGUCGGAUUAGCUAGUUGGCGGGGUAAAGGCCCACCAAGGCGACGAUCCGUAGCUGGUCUGAGAGGAUGAUCAGCCACACAGGAGCUGAGACACGGUCCAGACACCUACGGGAGGCAGCAGGGGGGAAGAUUGGACAAGGGGCGCAAGCCUGAUCCAGCCAUACCGCGUGGGUGAAGAAGGCCUGCGGGUUGUAAAGCCCUUUUGUUGGGAAAGAAAAGCAGCGGGUUAAGACCCCGCUGUUCUGACGGGACCAAAGGAAUAAGCACGGGCUAACUUCGU